GUCUCUGUGGCGCAACUGGUUAGCGCGUCUGACUGUUAAGUUUAGAGGAUCUUGUUGAAGAGAUCCACAAGUAACUGGCUUUUAAUCAGGAGGUUGACAGUUCAAUCCUGUCCAGGGACG
Molecule: transfer RNA, 120 nt
Filed under: Phakopsora pachyrhizi
Lineage: Eukaryota; Fungi; Basidiomycota; Pucciniomycetes; Pucciniales; Phakopsoraceae
Description: tRNA-Asn
Rfam family: tRNA
About the family: Transfer RNA (tRNA) molecules are approximately 80 nucleotides in length. Their secondary structure includes four short double-helical elements and three loops (D, anti-codon, and T loops). Further hydrogen bonds mediate the characteristic L-shaped molecular structure. tRNAs have two regions of fundamental functional importance: the anti-codon, which is responsible for specific mRNA codon recognition, and the 3' end, to which the tRNAs corresponding amino acid is attached (by aminoacyl-tRNA synthetases). tRNAs cope with the degeneracy of the genetic code in two manners: having more than one tRNA (with a specific anti-codon) for a particular amino acid; and 'wobble' base-pairing, i.e. permitting non-standard base-pairing at the 3rd anti-codon position.
Source: RNAcentral